Molecule: ribosomal RNA, 500 nt
Filed under: uncultured bacterium
Lineage: Bacteria
Description: partial 16S ribosomal RNA
Rfam family: Bacterial small subunit ribosomal RNA
Source: RNAcentral
AUUGAACGCUGGCGGCAGGCCUAACACAUGCAAGUCGAGCGGUAGAGAGAAGCUUGCUUCUCUUGAGAGCGGCGGACGGGUGAGUAAUGCCUAGGAAUCUGCCUGGUAGUGGGGGAUAACGUUCGGAAACGGACGCUAAUACCGCAUACGUCCUACGGGAGAAAGCAGGGGACCUUCGGGCCUUGCGCUAUCAGAUGAGCCUAGGUCGGAUUAGCUAGUUGGUGAGGUAAUGGCUCACCAAGGCGACGAUCCGUAACUGGUCUGAGAGGAUGAUCAGUCAAACUGGAACGGAGACACGGUCCAGAGUCCUACGGGAGGCAGCAGUGGGGAAUAUUGGACAAUGGGCGAAAGCCUGAUCCAGCCAUGCCACGUGUGUGAAGAAGGUCUUCGGAUUGUAAAGCACAUUAAGUUGGGAGGAAGGGUUGUAGAUUAAUACUCUGCAAUUUUGACGUUACCGACAGAAUAAGCACCGGCUAACUCUGUGCCAGCCGCCGCCGUAA